GUAACAUGUGGGAAUCUGCCUUGUGGUUCAGGACAACAUUGGGAAACCGAUGCUAAUACUGGAUAAGCCCUUACGGGGAAAGUUUUAAUGCCAUAAGAUGAGCCCGCAUUUGAUUAGUUAGUUGGUGAGGUAAUGGCUCACCAAGACAAUGAUCAAUAGCUGAUCUGAGAGGAUGAUCAGCCACACUGGGACUGAGACACGGCCCAGACUCCUACGGGAGGCAGCAGUGGGGAAUCUUGCACAAUGGAGGAAACUCUGAUGCAGCGAUGCCGCGUGAGUGAAGAAGGCCUUUGGGUUGUAAAGCUCUUUUGUAGGGGAAGAUAAUGACUGUACCCUAAGAAUAAGGUCCGGCUAACUUCGUGCCAGCAGCCGCGGUAAUACGAAGGGACCUAGCGUAGUUCGGAAUUACUGGGCGUAAAGCGCGCGUAGGCCGUUGAGUUAGUUAAUUGUGAAAUCCCAAAGCUUAACUUUGGAACCGCAAUUAAAACUGCUCGACUAGAGUUUGAUAGAGGAAAGCGGAAUACAUAGUGUAGAGGUGAAAUUCGUAGAUAUUAUGUAGAACACCAGUUGCGAAGGCGGCUUUCUGGAUCAACACUGACGCUGAGGCG
This 608-nucleotide ribosomal RNA is filed under the name uncultured bacterium. Its description in RNAcentral is "bacterial SSU rRNA". It matches the Rfam family "Bacterial small subunit ribosomal RNA", at positions 110 to 753 of the family's 1533-position model. The record is from RNAcentral.